GCGGGGCCUGGACCUGCUCCCUCCCCUCUCCGCUCCCUCCCUUUCUCUCCCUGGCUUUGGGCGCUCCCCACUGCAAACCGGCUUGGGUUUCCUCGGCGCCUUUUAACUCUUUCUUCGCUGAGCCCUGGGCAGCAAACUGCAGGGAGCACAGAUUGCACCCUGUGUAAAGGGUGGGCAGGCAGCAGGGCAGUGUCCCACCAUGAGCAUCUCAAGGUGUCCCUGGAAAACAUUUUGUUUUCCACAGCAGGCUCCCCUGCAGAGCUGCCUUGCUGGUAAGCUGAGACUCCAUGCAUCAAAAUGAUGUCUCCUUGGCGCACUUGCUCGGUGCUGGCAUUGCAGUGCUUGGGCUCUUCAGAGAUGUAGGUAUUUUAAGAAGCCACUCAGUCGGUGGAGUUUCUUGAGUGGUGACUUGCAGCAGAUGGAGCUCAAAGGUGUGCAAAAUGAAGUCUCGGCUCAAUUCAGUGGUGAAGGAGAGUCUCUGGUAAGUGUGUUCGCAGCCAGGGAACUCCCUGUCUCCCCACAGCAGCUGGGUAGCCACCUUGUGGAGAAGGAAACCCUUCCUAUACCUGCACGCCACCAUCUGAGCUGCCUCCUGCAAGGUCAUCAUUCACUGUCACAUAUAUUCUUCACUGCCUGGUCUUCAGCCAUGAACAAUGCUACAUUCUUCCCAGCUAAUAGCAUUUCUCCUCUGUCCUGCAGGGCUUUCUGCACCAGUGGUGCCCAGCAUUCACCUUGUCCUGCUCCUCCCUCCAAGAGGAGCAACACAGACCCCCAUUUAAAGUGCUCAUCUAGUUGAUCACUCAGUAGCCAGGCCUUUUAAUGUUCUUACUGCUUGUUGCUCUGUGUAGAGGGAGGAGCUUUUGCAGUUCAUCUUCAUUCUGCUAGGAUUUCCUGACUGCUUC
Long non-coding RNA from Apus apus (common swift), 902 nucleotides. RefSeq lists it as uncharacterized. The transcript is spliced from 3 exons. Lineage: Eukaryota; Metazoa; Chordata; Aves; Apodiformes; Apodidae. The record is from RefSeq and is a predicted model, not a curated record.